AACACAUGCAAGUCGAACGCGAAAGUCCCGCAAGGGAUGAGUAGAGUGGCAAACGGGUGAGUAACACGUGGGUGACCUGCCUUCGAGCGGGGGAUAACGUCCCGAAAGGGACGCUAAUACCGCAUGACAUCCUGCCUUUGAAGAGGUGGAGAUCAAAGCUGGGGAUCGCAAGACCUAGCACUUGAAGAGGGGCCCGCGCCUGAUUAGCUAGUUGGUGGGGUAACGGCUCACCAAGGCAACGAUCAGUAUCCGGUCUGAGAGGGCGGACGGACACACUGGGACUGAGACACGGCCCAGACUCCUACGGGAGGCAGCAGUGGGGAAUUGUUCGCAAUGGGCGCAAGCCUGACGACGCAACGCCGCGUGGAGGAUGAAGACCUUCGGGUCGUAAACUCCUUUCGAUCGAGACGAAUGGCUUCCGGGUGAACAAUCCGGGAGAAUGACGGUACCGAGAGAAGAAGCCCCGGCUAACUCCGUGCCAGCAGCCGCGGUAAUACGGGGGGGGCAAGCGUUGUUCGGAAUUACUGGGCGUAAAGGGCUCGUAGGCGGCCAACUAAGUCAGACGUGAAAUCCCUCGGCUUAACCGGGGAACUGCAUCCGAUACUGGAUGGCUUGAGAUUGGGAGAGGGAUGC
RNAcentral lists this ribosomal RNA (633 nucleotides) under uncultured Acidobacteriota bacterium. RNAcentral describes it as "bacterial SSU rRNA". It matches the Rfam family "Bacterial small subunit ribosomal RNA", at positions 50 to 662 of the family's 1533-position model. Lineage: Bacteria; Pseudomonadati; Acidobacteriota. The record is from RNAcentral.